Molecule: small nucleolar RNA, 104 nt
Organism: Chelonoidis abingdonii (Abingdon island giant tortoise)
Lineage: Eukaryota; Metazoa; Chordata; Testudines; Testudinidae
Product: small nucleolar RNA SNORD46
Source: RefSeq, a predicted model, not a curated record
GUGAAUAAUGAUGAUAACUUUGACCUUAGGCGGGCUUAUAAGAAGUCUUGGAGGCCUCUGUAAAGCUCACAGUGAUAGGAAUGUCAUAGUUACACUGAGUGCAU